GACGAACGCUGGCGGCGUGCUUAACACAUGCAAGUCGAACGGAAAGGCCCUGCUUUUGUGGGGUGCUCGAGUGGCGAACGGGUGAGUAACACGUGAGUAACCUGCUCUUGACUUUGGGAUAACUUCAGGAAACUGGGGCUAAUACCGGAUAGGAGCUCCUGCUGCAUGGUGGGGGUUGGAAAGUUUCGGCGGUUGGGGAUGGACUCGCGGCUUAUCAGCUUGUUGGUGGGGUAGUGGCUUACCAAGGCUUUGACGGGUAGCCGGCCUGAGAGGGUGACCGGCCACAUUGGGACUGAGAUACGGCCCAGACUCCUACGGGAGGCAGCAGUGGGGAAUAUUGCACAAUGGGCGGAAGCCUGAUGCAGCAAUGCCGCGUGCGGGAUGACGGCCUUCGGGUUGUAAACCGCUUUCGCCUGUGACGAAGCGUGAGUGACGGUAAUGGGUAAAGAAGCACCGGCUAACUACGU
This 467-nucleotide ribosomal RNA is filed under the name uncultured bacterium. RNAcentral describes it as "partial 16S ribosomal RNA". It matches the Rfam family "Bacterial small subunit ribosomal RNA", at positions 28 to 506 of the family's 1533-position model. The record is from RNAcentral.